This 161-nucleotide small nuclear RNA is filed under the name Salmo salar (Atlantic salmon). RNAcentral's name for it is "U1 spliceosomal RNA (ENSSSAG00000108165.1)". It matches the Rfam family "U1 spliceosomal RNA". From Rfam's summary of the family: U1 is a small nuclear RNA (snRNA) component of the spliceosome (involved in pre-mRNA splicing). Lineage: Eukaryota; Metazoa; Chordata; Actinopteri; Salmoniformes; Salmonidae. The record is from RNAcentral.
AUACUUACCUGGCAAGGGAGACACCGUGAUCAAGAAGGCGGUUCACCCAGGGCGAGGCUCAGCCAUUGCACUCGGCUGUGCUGACCCCUGCGAAUUUCCCAAAUGUGGAAAUCUCGAUUGCAUAAUUUCUGGUAGUGGGGACUGCGUUCGCGCUCUCCCCU